RNAcentral lists this unclassified non-coding RNA (270 nucleotides) under fungal sp. RNAcentral describes it as "partial internal transcribed spacer region". The stretch from base 1 to 46 matches the Rfam family "Eukaryotic small subunit ribosomal RNA", at positions 1786 to 1831 of the family's 1831-position model. Lineage: Eukaryota; Fungi. The record is from RNAcentral.
AAGUCGUAACAAGGUUUCCGUAGGUGAACCUGCGGAAGGAUCAUUAUUGAAUGAACUUGGAGUCAGUUGUCGCUGGCUGUCUUAUUUGGCAGCAUGUGCACGCCUUCUCUUUUCAUCCACACACACCCCUGUGCACUUGUGAGACUGGAGACCGGUAAAAAAAAGUCUUCAGUCUGCUAAAUCCAUAUACAAACCCAUUUAAUUGAACUGAAUGUAAAUUGAUGUAACGCAUCUUUAAACUAAGUUUCAACAACGGAUCUCUUGGCUCUC